RNAcentral lists this ribosomal RNA (464 nucleotides) under uncultured bacterium. RNAcentral describes it as "partial 16S ribosomal RNA". It matches the Rfam family "Bacterial small subunit ribosomal RNA", at positions 339 to 795 of the family's 1533-position model. The record is from RNAcentral.
CUACGGGUUGCUGCAGUCGAGAAUCUUUCGCAAUGGGGGAAACCCUGACGAAGCGACGCCGUGUGAGUGAAGAAGGCCCUCGGGUUGUAAAGCUCUUUCGCAUGGGAACAAGAAAAACUAACUAAUACUUAGUUGAUUUGAUAGUAUCAAGUAAAGAAGCACCGGCUAACUUCGUGCCAGCAGCUGCGGUAAUACGAAGGGUGCUAGCGUUAAUCGGAUUUAUUGGGCGUAAAGGGCGCGUAGGCGGAAAAGCAAGUCAAAUGUGAAAUCCCUGGGCUUAACCCAGGAACUGCAUUUGAAACUACUUAUCUAGAGGAUAGACGGAGAAAGUGGAAUUCCACGUGUAGCGGUAAAAUGCGUAGAUAUGCGGAAGAAUACCGGUGGCGAAGGCGACUUUCUAGUUUACACCUGACGCUGAGGCGCGAGAGCAAGGGGAGCAAACAGGAUUAGAUACCCCAGUAGUC